UUCCGGGGCGCGCGCCUACCCUUCGCUGGGCCGGGCGCGCCACCCGGUAUUCGUUUACUUUAGAAAAAAUUAGAGUGUUUAAAGCAGGCGUCGCCGCUCUGAAUACAUUAGCAUGGAAUAAUAGGAUAGGACUUGGGUUCUAUUUUGUUGGUUUCUAGGACCGAAGUAUGAUUGAUAGGGACAGUUGGGGGUGCUGGUAUUCAGCGGCCAGAGGUGAAAUUCUUGGAUUCGCUGAAGACCAACUUAUGCGAAAGCAUUCACCAAGGAUGUCUUCUUUAAUCAAGAACGAAAGUUGGGGGAUCGAAGACGAUCAGAUACCGUCGUAGUCUCAACCAUAAACUAUGCCAACUAGGGAUGGGCGAACGUUGCUUUUUCCGACUUCGUCCGCACCUUAUGAGAAAUCACAAGUGUUUGGGUUCCGGGG
This 424-nucleotide ribosomal RNA is filed under the name uncultured eukaryote. Its description in RNAcentral is "SSU rRNA". It matches the Rfam family "Eukaryotic small subunit ribosomal RNA", at positions 698 to 1119 of the family's 1831-position model. The record is from RNAcentral.